UCGAGAAUCUUCGGCAAUGGGCGCAAGCCUGACCGAGCGACGCCGCGUGGAGGAAGAAGGCCCUCGGGUUGUAAACUCCUGUUGGGGGGGACCGAAUUCAAUGAGAGAACCCCUGAGGAAGCACGGGCUAAGUUCGUGCCAGCAGCCGCGGUAAGACGAACCGUGCGAACGUUAUUCGGAAUCACUGGGCUUAAAGCGCGCGUAGGCGGCGUCGCAAGUCGGGGGGUGAAAUCCCAUCGGCUCAACCGUGGAAUUGCCUUCGAUACUGCGAUGCUCGAGGGAGGUAGGGGCAGGUGGAACUUCCAGUGGAGCGGUGAAAUGUGUUGAGAUUGGAAGGAACGCCGGUGGCGAAAGCGGCCUGCUGGAUCUCUUCUGACGCUGAGGCGCGAAAGCUAGGGUAGCGAACGGGAUUAGAUACCCCGGUAGUCCUAGCCUUAAGCGAUGGGUACUGAGUAGGAAGCGUUCCGAUAACGCCUCCUGCUGGAGCGAAAGUGUUAAGUACCCCGCCUGGGGAG
Molecule: ribosomal RNA, 515 nt
Filed under: uncultured Planctomycetota bacterium
Lineage: Bacteria; Pseudomonadati; Planctomycetota
Description: bacterial SSU rRNA
Rfam family: Bacterial small subunit ribosomal RNA
Source: RNAcentral